RNAcentral lists this ribosomal RNA (497 nucleotides) under uncultured bacterium. Its description in RNAcentral is "partial 16S ribosomal RNA". It matches the Rfam family "Bacterial small subunit ribosomal RNA", at positions 28 to 507 of the family's 1533-position model. The record is from RNAcentral.
GAUGAACGCUGGCGGCGUGCCUAAUACAUGCCAGUCGAGCGAACGGACGAGAAGCUUGCUUUUCUGAUGUUAGCGGCGGACGGGUGAGUAACACGUGGAUAACCUACCUAUAAGACUGGGAUAACUUCGGGAAACCGGAGCUAAUACCGGAUAAUAUUUUGAACCGCAUGGUUCAAAAGUGAAAGACGGUCUUGCUGUCACUUAUAGAUGGAUCCGCGCUGCAUUAGCUAGUUGGUAAGGUAACGGCUUACCAAGGCAACGAUGCAUAGCCGACCUGAGAGGGUGAUCGGCCACACUGGAACUGAGACACGGUCCAGACUCCUACGGGAGGCAGCAGUAGGGAAUCUCCCGCAAUGGGCGAAAGCCUGACGGAGCAACGCCGCGUGAGUGAUGAAGGUCUUCGGAUCGUAAAACUCUGUUAUUAGGGAAGAACAUAUGUGUAAGUAACUGUGCACAUCUUGACGGUACCUAAUCAGAAAGCCACGGCUAACUACGUG